GAUCUCGCUGUUAAGAAACAGAACAUGGUUUUAAAAAAACAACAGAAAAAAACACCGUGUUUAGAUAGUGAAUGGUGUGAUUGGCGUAAAAGGGAGUUGGUGUUUUCAUGGAUGGCGAGGAUGUCCCCCAUAAUACACUUGAGAUCCAGUUUGUUGCCGAUUCGAAAGAAAGCGAACUUUUUCUAUUGCGCAACCACCCCGUUUCACAAAGUGAGGCAAUGAAAUCCGAUGGGCAUCGGGUGGUGGACAGUAAGAGGAUUUGAAUAAAAAACAAAUUAGCUAUCGAAAGUUCUUUUCUUCUUCGU
Molecule: non-coding RNA, 305 nt
Organism: Caenorhabditis elegans
Lineage: Eukaryota; Metazoa; Nematoda; Chromadorea; Rhabditida; Rhabditidae
Source: Ensembl